This 494-nucleotide ribosomal RNA is filed under the name uncultured bacterium. Its description in RNAcentral is "partial 16S ribosomal RNA". It matches the Rfam family "Bacterial small subunit ribosomal RNA", at positions 28 to 507 of the family's 1533-position model. The record is from RNAcentral.
GACGAACGCUGGCGGCGUGCUUAACACAUGCAAGUCGAACGGAAAGGCCUGCUUUCCCUUGUGGAUUGCGGGUACUCGAGUGGCGAACGGGUGAUUAACACGUGAGUGAUCUGCCCCCAACUUGGGUAUAAGCCUGGGAAACUGGGUCUAAUUCCCGAUAGGACUGCAGGGUGGUGCCUGUGGUGGAAAACGAUUUUCUAGUGGUUGGGGAUGAGCUCGCGGCCUAUCAGCUUGUUGGUGGGGUAAUGGCCUACCAAGGCGGCGACGGGUAGCCGGCCUGAGAGGGUGGACGGCCACAUUGGGACUGAGAUACGGCCCAGACUCCUACGGGAGGCAGCAGUGGGGAAUAUUGCACAAUGGGCGGAAGCCUGAUGCAGCGACGCCGCGUGGGGGAUGACGGCCUUCGGGUUGUAAACUCCUUUCGACCGCGAGGAAGCCACCUGGUUGGAAGGGUGGUGACGGUAGUGGUAGAAGAAGCACCGGCUAACUACGUG